RNAcentral lists this small RNA (28 nucleotides) under Bombyx mori (domestic silkworm). RNAcentral's name for it is "ovarian small RNA-11077". The record is from RNAcentral. Lineage: Eukaryota; Metazoa; Arthropoda; Insecta; Lepidoptera; Bombycidae.
ACAGAACGAAUGCAUUCGAUUUGAUGAC